AGGUAAUCUAUCUUUGAGAGUAGGACAACAUGCCGAAAGGUGUGCUAAUCCUGCAUAAUAUCUAUUUUUAUAAGAGAUUAGAUCAAAGGGUGGGAUCUUUCGGGACCACUUGCUUGAAGAGGGGCCUAUGUCCUAUUAGUUAGUUGGUAAGGUAAAGGCUUACCAAGGCGAUGAUGGGUAGCCGAGCUGAGAGGCUGAUCGGCCACACUGGAACUGAAACACGGUCCAG
RNAcentral lists this ribosomal RNA (229 nucleotides) under uncultured bacterium. RNAcentral describes it as "partial 16S ribosomal RNA". It matches the Rfam family "Bacterial small subunit ribosomal RNA", at positions 119 to 334 of the family's 1533-position model. The record is from RNAcentral.